Molecule: small nuclear RNA, 59 nt
Filed under: Cercocebus atys (sooty mangabey)
Lineage: Eukaryota; Metazoa; Chordata; Mammalia; Primates; Cercopithecidae
Description: U7 small nuclear RNA (ENSCATG00000000899.1)
Rfam family: U7 small nuclear RNA
About the family: Animal histone pre-mRNAs are spliced by a different mechanism than nuclear pre-mRNAs and self-splicing introns. This processing involves the U7 snRNP, which contains only one RNA species: U7.
Source: Rfam by way of RNAcentral
CAGUGUUAUAGCUCUUUUAGAAUUUGUCUAGCAGGUUUUCCAGGUUGCAGGAAACUUCU